CAGCAGUAGCCACGGUAAUACGUAGGUGGCAAGCGUUGUCCGGAAUUAUUGGGCGUAAAGGGCUCGCAGGCGGUUUCUUAAGUCUGAUGUGAAAGCCCCCGGCUCAACCGGGGAGGGUCAUUGGAAACUGGGAAACUUGAGUGCAGAAGAGGAGAGUGGAAUUCCACGUGUAGCGGUGAGAUGCGUAGAGAUGUGGAGGAACACCAGUGGCGAAGGCGACUCUCUGGUCUGUAACUGACGCUGAGGAGCGAAAGCGUGGGGAGCGAACAGGAUUAGAUACCCCGGUAGUCCCUGUCUCUUAUAC
This 304-nucleotide ribosomal RNA is filed under the name uncultured bacterium. RNAcentral describes it as "partial 16S ribosomal RNA". It matches the Rfam family "Bacterial small subunit ribosomal RNA", at positions 506 to 807 of the family's 1533-position model. The record is from RNAcentral.